Long non-coding RNA from Pocillopora damicornis (cauliflower coral), 1492 nucleotides. Lineage: Eukaryota; Metazoa; Cnidaria; Anthozoa; Scleractinia; Pocilloporidae. The record is from RefSeq and is a predicted model, not a curated record.
AGAAAAAAUAAGUUUUAGUAAGAACCAAUUAGGACUCGAAGUAAAAACAAGCAAACUGCUUAAAGCGCGGGAAAACGCGCGUCACUAAGCUUUUAUUGGUUUUAGGAUUGCAUCUGAUUGGUUGGGAAAGUGGUGCGAGUUUUCCGGACCAAUCACAGAGAAAAGUAAAGUAGAACCAGAGCAAUCUCUGAUCACUUUCGACACCUAAUCGAAAAUGACGCCAUUGGUUGUGUCUUUUACUUGGGAGGUGGAUACGUGGAGCUGAAUAAGUCGCGGAUAGCUUAACUGUACGUGAGGCGUUAAAAAGUACCGGCUUGAAUGAGUUGCAUGGAAGAACAUUUUCAGAAAAUGUCCUAGUCGUUUUGUUAAUAGAUAUAUUUUUUAUGACGUUAGAAUGUUUUUUCUUUUUAGCAAAGUAAAAAUUGUUCGAUUUAACUUUUCCCCCUUUGAUGAUAAUGCAGGUAUCCCGGUUAUAACGAGCGUGCAUAUCCUUAUGCCUACACUAAACAGCACUGGCAUGUGAUUGCUGCGAAGCUGGCGUUUGUAUUUGUGUUCCAAUACAUCGUUUAUUCAAUCAGAAAGUUUUUGGCCUGGUUGGUUCCUGAUCAGCCAAAGUUGCUGGCGCUGAAAAUCAAACGGGAAGAAUUCCUGGCCAAGGAAGCCCUUCGAGAAAAAGAGACCGAAGAGGUCGAUGUAAACACUGAAGCAGUUGCUUAGUGAGCAACUGAUCGUGAGCAAUUGAAACUGGCGACUGGACUCUUCAUUUAACAAACGUGGAAAAACUAACCCAAGAGAAAUUAUCCAAGAUUUUCUAAUGCCAUUCUUCAGUAUAUAAUGUAACUAGAUUAACUCGUUCUCCUGAUCAAAGUGUUCGAACGGUUUUGUAUGUAAAGUUUUUUUUCGCAUUAGAGUGUUACUUAGAGGAUUAGUUGUUUCCAGACUAGUCUUUGUUCAUCAAAAUGUUACGUUAUCGUGCAAACUUACAUGGUUUUCGCUGUCUUUUUAACUCAGAAAAUAAUGUAAACUUCUGGUUUGAUGUGGCAAGAGAAUUUACAUCAGUUGACGGGCGGCGAGGGUGUGCAUGAUCAAAAUAAAUAUAUCCAACAAUAACUGUUAUUUUAAUUAACCUCUCUCAAAAGUGGUGACGUAAAUGAAAAAUUUUGGAAAACUCACCUUUUCUACUACAUUGAACGUAUUCCAUUUGGUGCAUACUUACAAUUGUUUGUGUCACACUGGCCCUUAGGACUUUGGAACAGUAGUGGCGGUAGAAGUAGUUGUAGUGUUUGUUGUUGUUCCUGCUGUUUUUGUCAAAGUAAAACAGCAAUUGACUGCAACAACAUCUGAGUGGCUGGAACUUUUUUUAAUGACCAAUUUGGAGGCUAGUUUAAGAAUCGAUCUGUUUAGCAGAGGUUGUAGUAGUAGUAGUAGUGUUUGUUGUUGUCGCUGUGUAUGCUGUUAUUAACAGAUUAAAACUGUAAUUAACUGCAACAAC